This is a non-coding RNA of Pelodiscus sinensis (Chinese soft-shelled turtle), 769 nucleotides long. The record is from RefSeq and is a predicted model, not a curated record. Lineage: Eukaryota; Metazoa; Chordata; Testudines; Trionychidae.
AGGACAUCUCUACACUCUGAGCCAACCCAGGAGGAGCCUGGGGUAAUACCCGCCCCGCAGGAAUGAGGGUGCUGCUCCCCUUUAAUACAGUAAAUCAGUAGGGCCACAAGAACCUGGGGCGUGUGGAAGUGGGGAACGAAUGGUGCUACCACAAAAUGCUCCCCCUGAUCCCACCGCCAUGGAAGCUACACCAAGCAUGAAUUAUGUCACAAGGCUCCAUGCAUCUGUAGGAAGCCAGGGGCAGGAUGCUGGAGGACAGAUUAUACUGAAAUGGCAAACUCAUGUCUGAAGAGUUCAUCUGUUCCUCCUGGCAGUUUCUCCUCUGACAUCACCAGCAAAGGUCAAGACUUGGAAUGGAGAAUGAGCUGCAAGGACAAAUGAACACUUCUGAAACUAAAGGUGUUGCUGGUAACUCAAGAACAAACAAUGCAGUCUAGUGGUAGGACUACAAGUCUGGGAGCCAGGAACUUGUGAAAACUAAAUGCAGUUCCACAACUGGUUCCUUGAGUGGCCUUGGGCAAUUUAACCUCUCUGCAAGGCCUAGUUAAUAACUCUAUAGGGCACUUUGAAGUUAAUUGUCAGUUGUGAUUAUUAAAAAGAGCUAAGGUAAAGUUCAGGUUUCUUCUGUCUUCACUGGACAGUCUUAGGCUGGAAGGAAGGUAGAAUUACACACCCAAAAUCCUUUCCAUAGAACAGUAGUGGCCAAACCUUUCCUGUUGGGUUUACCCUUUACCAGUAAUGGAAUUUGCCUAGGCCCCCCUCAUUACUG